AAUAAGCUAGUAAGUGACCACACUGACUCAUCUAGACUUUAACUUAAGCCUGGGGCAAGCCAUUUCAUCACCCGGAAGAAACCAUGUUCUUAGCCCACGGUUGAAGGGCCAGGUGUGAGCCACGAGAAGUUUUCCCAGAGUGCACAAACCCCAAGAUGCCAGAGCUUCUGGGGAACCACGCUCAUCAGCGUAACUAAAACUCGCUCACCCGCUGAGCUCUCAAAGAGUAAGGAUCACAAUCUACUGCAUAUGCAUGAAGGGGACCACGGGCCGGAGGUUCGGAGCUGCCCAAGCUACGCCUGACCAAAUAUUCCACGGGUUUGAAGACCUUAGCGCCCUAUAAUCUUAUUCAAGUCUACAAAAAUGUCAUAAAGGACAUUUCGUGGCGUAUACUGAAGGAAGAGUGCCUGAGAGUAACCUCGCUUUGAGCCAGUUUGUCAGGCGUUCUCAGCGGACAGCUCGAUUUUGGACGGGGUCCUUGAGCCGCUUCACUAGAAGACGAAGGGGGCGUCUCCCCAGCUCCUGCGGCGUCCGUGGCGAGCUAAGGUGGAGGCUGGUAGCGGCAGCGACGGCGACAGUGGCGGCAGUGCCAUGGCGGGGCUCGCAGGAUCCCUGCUGCCUUGGUGAUCCCGGGCUGACAGCCAGAGAGCACAGCGGCUCAGCUCCUGGAGAGAGAGUCGAAGAGAACGAAGGGCAGCCACCUGUGCCUGCUGGCUCCCAUUAGGUCGCUUCCUGCAGCGGUGCCUGGCAGCCUUGGUGAAGGCCCUGCCCGGCAGAGAUCAUGUAUUGCCUCCAGUGGCUGCUGCCCGUCCUCCUCAUCCCCAAGCCCCUCAACCCCGCUCUGUGGUUCAGCCACUCCAUGUUCAUGGGCUUCUACCUGCUCAGCUUCCUCCUGGAACGGAAACCUUGCACAAUAUGUGCCUUGGUUUUCCUGGCAGCCCUCUUUCUCAUCUGCUAUAGCUGCUGGGGAAAUUGUUUCCUGUACCACUGCUCCGAUUCCCCACUUCCGGAAUCAGCCCAUGACCCCGGUGUUGUGGGCACCUAACAUCUACCGAGAUAGCUUGCCAAGGAAGCAGAAGACGGGAGGGGAGGCAUUGGCAUAGGUCAUAAAGCAUUGGAGUUUCAAAUCCCGCAGCCCUGCGGGUACCACAUUCCUAAUGGAGCCUUUUGGCCUGUGAUGUUUUACCCUUACAAUGUGAAUACUGGCACUAAUGGGUGCUUCUGUUGUAGAGUCCUGUAGUCGUGGGUGGUCUUAUGGUUGUGUACUCUGUCACCAUCUGGGUCCCGGCUGACGGAUUGGCCCACCCAUUACUCAUUGAUUUGGGGAGUCUGUCCCCUUGGGAUGAGCUGGGUGGAUACAAUGUAGUCUCAGCAUCACCUCCAUAACCCUUCCUCGGCAAGAUCUUCCUGUUCCCGCCUCAGUCCCCUUCCCUGUUUCCCCUUGGUUCUCUCCCACCCCUUUCCUUUUUGGGGGAGCACCUGUCUAAGACAGGGCUUGUUUUUGCACUUAUCUCAAAUUUGAAGAGAUUGCUGACGCCCGAGAGCCUCGCUUUUUCAUCCUUCGUUCCCUGUUGAGAAGGUGAGACGGAAUCAUGUCUCAACUGCUCGUUGUCUGCAGACCUCCAGUAUUUUCUCUGCCUCAUUUUUAAGAAAGAAGUAGUGGGGAGACAUUGUUCUUUGGCCUGGGUAUCUGGGCUCUUGCCUUCCAGCCCAGCCUCUCUCCUUUUGCUCUUCCUCCUGCCUCUCUCAGCUGACCUAAAGGGACUGCCUCAUGUCUCCAGUGCAUGCUCUUCAGGAGGGAGAUGUGCAGUAUUCUAGUAGACCCAGUGGUCCCUGGCUGAGUGAAUGGGAAAGUAUUACAUUUUUCAUAGCAGCCAUGAUUCCCUUGAUAGGUGUUUGGAUAUUUUUUGAUGUGCCCUGUAUGUGUGUGUGCACUUAUGUCAGUGUGGUUGUGUGAGUGUGUGUGUUGUGUGUGUGUAUUUACAUACAAAUACAUGUGUAUAUUCCUUUUGAAGAAGCUUUACUGAAUGUGUUCUGAUUUUGAGGUUUAGUAGUAGUAGCUAGCUGUAGUAGGUCCUGCUGCAGUUUUUAUUUAGCAUGGGGAUUGCAGAGCGACCAGCACAGUGGACUCCAAGGUGGUUCAGACAAGACCCAGGGGAGCGGUCACCAUCAUCCUCCCACCAGGAGCCUCUCCAUCCCUGCAUAUGUAGACUGUACACUAUGAAGAAUACACAGGAAGAAAGAUCUGGUGACUUUGUACUUGUUUGCUUUUCUCUGUGCUUCAGAAACAAGUGUUUGCAAAUGAGACUUUCUCCUGGCUCCUGCCCACUGGGGAUCAGCAUGGUUGGACUUCCGGUCCAAAGUGUCCCUCCUCUCGUGAGCGAGUGGGAGUGGUGGGCCAGGCACAGGGCAGAGCUGGAAGCAGGCAUCUGGGGAGUGGGACUUGGAGGCCACACUUGUGAAACACUCGGACUGCUGUUGUAAAGCUUUUCUUUCUGGUGUGUUCGUUCCACAGCUGUUUGAAAUGUUUAAUAAAGCUUUAUAAACUUUACUUUGUGGUUUUAUGUGGCUGCAGUCCAUUUGGGUCAUGGUGUUGGAUUUCUGAGUUGGUGGGGGGCAGGGUGAAGCACACAGGACGGAGUCCUUGGCGCCAGAGUACCUUAGCUGGAAAAUCUGAUCUGUUCUCUGGAGAACAGAUGCUGGAAUUGGGGGAGGAGAGCAGGGGCCAGUUCGGGCAGUAAACAGGAGGGAGUCUGGAAGUUUUCAGAGAUGAGACGUUUGCACUUCUCAGCUCCCAUGGCUUCCUGCCUGAACCUGUUUGCUCUAUAAGAUUUGAGGAACGGGUCCCUUGAUAAACAACUUGGGACAGCUGGGGCUCUAAUCAUCAAGGAUUUUUAUGGUGCUGCUUUUGAAGUAAAAAUAAGUGAACCCCCUUGUGGCAUUUCAGUUGGAAAAGUAAAUAAGGCUCACCAUCUACCCAGCACAUCUUAGGUGUCAGCUCAGAAGCACAAGAGAGUACAGUCCCUUGCUGUGGAUGUGCACGUGGGACUGAGUGGGACCUGGGACACUCAGUUGGGGUAGCAUGCCAGCGCCCUGUGCUGGGCAUACACCUCCAACUCUCUCAGAAAGCAGGACAGGGACACUGCCUGAGCAGCAGGUGAGGUGGGUCUGGUGACUUCAGGGGAGCCGAGUGACCUCCCCAGACAUUUCCUUUAUUGUGGGAAAGCUGUAUGGAUCUGCUCCUGCUCUUUUGCAUUUUUCUGCCUUUUUUGCAUUCCUGGCAUUGCUGAUCUAUGAUUUAUUUCCUCUGAUUAUAACUUUCCAAAGAGACAACUGUGAUCUGUAUAUAAUCCCAGCACUCGGGAAGCUGAGGCAGAAGGAUUCCUCUGAGUUCUGGGCCAGCCUGGGCUAUAGAGUGAGACCUUAUCUAAACAAAAAAAUGGAAUUACCAAAGAAUUAUCUAUUUUAGAGGGGUUUCUUUGGAAAACUGCAGUGACCAUUCUCAGGGUGUCUUUUCUGUCCUCUUCAGUGGCACGCUUGCUUCUCGUGGUCUUUGCUGUGUGUAUAGCUCUUUGGGGUUCUACAGAGCUUGACAAGCUGAGGAGCUGGGCAUAGGGAAAGGCAGGUUUGUUCAACAAACACAGAGACCUUGUAUGAGGCUUGCUGGAGAUGUCAGGACAAACAAGCCUGAUACUCUAGGACAUCAUGAUUCUAGCCUAGUGGGGAAACUUAGCAAAAUAGACAACCGCAGGUUCUGAAAACAAACAGAGGCUGUUGUGUCCCUCUCCUGUGGAGGACCUGGAUCCCAAGUGAAGCUAAGACCAUUGCUUAUUUUGCUCUCCCUUGGAAAUCGGCUUUCUGUUUUAGAUCAUGUGCUUGAGAGUUACAUAUAGGCCUCCCUCUGAGAGGUCUGUGGCCCUUUCCGUAGGGUGCUAGUAGCCCAUCCCUUGAAGGGUACUUGUCAUGUCAGAGUUCAUUCUGUCCACAGGGCUUCCCACCUUACCUAGAAUGCUGUCCUCCCUGGAGUAUCUUUCAGGAAAACAAAAUGGUGCUUCCUGUGCAGAAGGCCACUAGGCCUUCCGGGGCCUCCCACUACUGCACACGCGUUGCGGUCAAGGCCCUGUGAGAAGAUGUCCUGUUCCCGACGUCAGUUUCCUGAUAGGUAAAAGGUGAUCUCUAAAACAAAUAGUUUUCCCAACCCUGAUGAUCUGGGGAUCUCCUCCAUCCCCAACCCACCCCCUAUCUCCAGGCCUCUCGUGGAGCCCAGCUGAGGAAGGUGGCUGAGCCAAGUUGAUGGUGGGAUUCUUAGAGAGCUACUUGCUUGUGCUCUGUGUUUUGAUCUAUGUACCAUGUGAGCCCAGACACUGCCAGUGUCAGGAGCUUCUCUUUGUUUCUUCCUUUCUCUGGUGAUGGUUUGUCUAGAGCCUGUCAUUCAACCUUCAUGGAUACUGUUGCCGAGGUAUGUCAGAGUUCCUCCUAGACGCUGAGUUCCUGGAGGGUAUGGCCCAUGAGUCCUGCUCAGGAGACCUGCCCUAAUCAGUCUUUUAUUUUUUGGUUAGACUCUCAUGUGGGGUGAGACCCUGGGACCACAGUGGACAGUGUCUGCCCUUGCAGUGUCCUCCAGGCUGAAGUAGGGGGGGAUGAUAUUUAUUACUCAAGUUAUCUCCGAGAUCCAGAACUUGGCACUAUGGCAGGUGUUCUGGGAGUCUCAGGAAAGAGCUAAUGCAGUCCUGGGAGGAUCGACUUGCAGACCUGAAGAUCAAGUGCAGGUAUUUGAGCACUGAAGUAAUGAGUGAGAUGUUGCUUUUCACAGCAUCUCUGCUUAUGGAGAAAGAGACUGAGCUGCAGAGUAAAUGGAAGGACCGCUCAUAUCUAGCUGCCUUAGAAUCAGACCCCAAAGAGCUUUUGCAGAAAGAAGUCAGUCUGUUUAAAUCUGGAGCACUGACAAUUGGGGGGGUGGGGCACUAUGAGAAGAUUUUAAAGCUGAGUUUGCCGCUAGCAGGCCCCAGACAGCUGGGAGCUAAUGGGGAGCCAUUACAGUAAGCAGCGUGUGAGGUGGGAUUCAGUCCUUAGGAAACAGUGUACGUUUGAGCAGUGGAAGCAGCAGGACCACCAGCCUGUCUAGAUCACUGGGAAUGAGGAAGAAGGGCUCACAAGUGGCAGUGGUGAGGUUAGCACCAGGACUGGGGAGAGUGGAGUAUGUUGAAAACAGCAUUAUCCAUCCUGGUAGGGCAAGCCAAGCCAAGCCUUGAUGGAAGUUCCAUGUAGAAGGCCUGUCUUCCUUUGGGAAUCUAGACAAAGGGAAUCAAACACUGGUGUCCUGGGUGGACCGAGAGGGCUGAAAGCCUGCUGUGAGGCUUCACGGAGCCCUGGGUCUUCCGCUAUGCCUUAGUGUGUGUGAGACUGUCCAGUUCCCCUCUGGUUCCCUCCCUCACCUUAGAAAGAAGGUCGUUAGCAUCAGCCUCCAGGCAGUCUUCAUGGUGCUACCUCCUCUGUUGGUAAAAGGCUACUCCAUGGCCCUACUAGGCUCUGUCUCCUCAGAGCAGCCAGCACAGGGGGAUGUGUGAGGGUGCCUUGUUGCAUCUAGUUGAAAAGACCCUUCCCAGAGACAAAUCUCUGGGUGGUUCUCACCUCUUCUCUUUCCCUGGGCAGUUGUAGAGAACCCACACUUGAGUGGACAGCCUGCCCAAGCUACCACUCCCCUGUUCCAUGUAGUGGUGGCAACCUUCCAUAAAAGAGGCAGGGAGGCAGACGAUUGCGGUGCCGUGGGCUUGAUUUCCCACCACUUGGCAUAUGACCUUGUUCCUCACCAUUUGUGUUCCUUGAGGCCUGUUGCCCCGUUCAUUAGUCAGGGAAGAAGUCUUUAACAUUUCCAGAGUCAUCUCCUGUGAGAUAUUGGUGACCUUUAUUCUUAUUACUUCAGUCUUGAGAGAUGUUGGCUGAAAGUGUGUUAAGGCAAUGAAGUAUUUAAUCAAAGGAUUUUACAUUAAAAGAAUAAACGUGAGCUUUACUCGUGGGUGCAAAAGUGCCAAGAAUAUUCAUGUAUAGCCAAGGCAGAUGUCGAAGGGCCCACGAGGGAGGAAAAUAGACAAAGCACUUCAGUGGGUCCCUGGUGCCCCGGUUCCCACGUCUUAGCUGGGUCAUUGAAGUCCUGCACAACCCAUAAUCACAGAGGCCAUGUCACCAGACCAAACAGAGAACUUGCCUGACCAGGCCUGCCACAGUACUGGUUGGUCUGUGACUUGGUGGGUAAAAUAGGUGGUGACUCAGUCACUUAGUGCUACACUCCUGAGGCAUUAGGAAGCUGGUUUUUCCUAGAAGGAGGGGAACCCCCUCCCACGACUCCUACUGGCAACUCUGCAGUACCAAGGAUUAGUUUCCAGACCAGUAUUCUGAGACAGCAGAUGAAAAGAAACUCAUAAAAAGCACACAGCCUGGCAUCCUUUCUGUAGAGUGGAGCACACAGGCAGGCACCUGUCAGGCCAGAUAUAAUGGAGUCCUGAUUACUCCUCUUUCCCUGCUCUGUGCCUUGAACCCCGCCUGCGUUUGAACGCUUCUUGCUCUUGCUGUCCUUUCGUAUCUGGCAGGUGGGUGAGCUGACACCAGUGUAGAGUACAGAUUCCCUGUUCCACGACUGAGGCCAGCACUGGCCAGUGGUUCUGUGUUUGACUGCAGAUUGAUGGCAACCCAUGGCCCUUGAUUCCCAAACUGUAGACCAUCAGCCAAGUUGGUUGUUGGCAUUGCUCCUCUUGCCUUUGCCACCUUCUCUCCCGUAGAUGGGGAACAUCUUCACCAGAGUGUCAGGCUCAUAGCUGCCUCCCUUCGCCCCUCUCCACUGCUGCACCUGCAUCCCUGAAAGCAGACUGUCCCAGAUGACAGUCUUACUCCAGACUGUGCCCUCUGUGGCCCACAGGCAUCAUCUCUGUAGGCCUGCUACUUAUAGAUGGGCAGGGCCCUCUGUGGGGGCUGCUUUUGGUGGAUGGUUUGGGGUUUCUUUUUACGUACUAAUCAAGUAUGAAUCAGUUAUUUCCACACUUGAAGCCAUUUUUGUGCGUGCUCUGUGCUGCCAUUUUGCACAGACAGAAACUAGGGCCCACAGGGGCUUAGCACAUACUCAGCUGUUGCCACAAUGGCCCUCGUGGCAGUGCCACCUAACAGCCUGGUGUGCGGCUGUGGAACCUCCUUAGCUGAUAACACUACUGUACCUGUAAACCUGACUUUCUGGCCGCUCAGUGUUUCCCAGGCUCAUGGCUUUUUCUUCAGUUGGAUCCAGUCGUCUCUGGCUGCUCAGUUGCACCCGUGUCUCUGAGCGUCCAGCCCAACUCCUUUCAACUUGUGGUCCACAUGGCUGCCAUCGGGCUUCCUUACUAACUUAAGGCAUUUUCUGUGGCACUUGGCUUAACCUUCGACCUCUGCAGGGAUGGCAUGCUCUCUCUGAGUGCAGUCACUGGUGCUCACAGUCUGCCUGACACCCCUGUGCGCCUUCUCCAGGUGCCAAUCAGAGACACUUGUCCUCAAAAGAGGUGGUCCAAAAAGGUGUCUGGGAUUGGGGUGACAACUGUCACCAUCAUGAGGACCAAGAACGACUCACUGAGUCACUUAAAGGAUUUAAUUGUCCUUUUUGGGAUUAGCAUAGUGAUAGAGGCAGAAAGGAGACUCAAGUUCGAGGGGAACAAGUAAAGGUGAGCUUGCUCUCCCAGCUUCGAAGGAAGGGGACUUGCUGAAAGGCAACUCCUUUUGGACUGCUCCUUUGUGUGGCUGCUGCUUGGCAAACACUUCUCUAGUCAGAAAACCUGAGCAGUUGUCAGUAGGACCUCCUGAAACCCUCCAGCCCUAAGAAGGGCACACCUGUGCCUACUGUACUGAGGGCUUGCAGACAUGAGUUGCCCAGGAGUAGGGGCAGACCUGACACUUGCCCCAUUGCCCUCCAGAGCCUUACCUCAACACUGCCCUUCUCCUCCUACCAGUCCUGAGUGGAAGAGGGGUGUAGCGCUGCCGAGGGUUAGCACUGAGAGAAGACUGGGGGGUGUGAGGGUUGGAACACUCCUGUUCACAGGGGAAGGGGGAAUGCAGAUAACUUUUUAAACAGUCAAGUUGGAAAUGAGAACCUAUUAGAAAUUUGGAGUGAGGGAGGAAUUAGAUAUUUUAAAGUAUCUAAAAAGCAAAGAAAUGGCACCAGGAAGGCAAAGGCCAGCAGUGAGCAAGGACAAGUGAUGGUCCAUGUCCUGACUGCCUGGGGUGGACUGGACUAUUUAAUCAGGGUUAACGUGGGACAGAAAGCAUGGAGCAACCCACCCACCCAAGCCAAAGAAGCUUGGCACCGGGCCAGGGACCUCAUCUGUCCUGAAACCGUUGCUGCUGGGAGGCACCAAGUAAAUAUUUGCUGAUAGGAAAUAAACAUCUGAAAUGAGAAAUUACAUCAAACAAAGCAGCCAGGCAUGGAGCUCAUACCUCUUAUCCUAGUGUUUGGUAGGUAGAGAUUGAAGGAUCAGGAGUUCAAGGUCACCCUUGGCUAUAUAAGGAGUUUCAAGCUACAUGAAACCCUGUCUAAAAUAAAUAAAUAGUACAGUAAUUAAUUGAAAUUGUCAGUGUUAAGGUGACGCUGAUAGACGGGAACCAGGGUCUCACCCAUUAGCCAGCUGCAUGGGGCUGCCUGGGUCUUCUCAGAAUUGAUAACACACAGUGGUCAGGACUAGAAAAGCGACUUUCCUUUGAUCACAGUUCUGCCUCGUGCUUGAAGGUUGUAUGCACUUGUGGGUCUUGAGAUUCAGGGAUCCCCUAGAAAGUCUCAAUCAUGCAGACUUCACAUAGAGGACCUCCAGCAAGAACUGGCACAAAUAGUCUGUGCGUUCUGAUUGUAGCAUCCCUUUCGCAUAGUGUAUGGCUUCCUCCCUGGGUAGGUAACAUCUACUACCCGAGUCUUACAACCCAUAGCUCCACACUAUUUUUUCUUUGUUUUGUUUUGAAACUUUAUGUUUAUUUUAUAAUUGUUUUGCCUACAUGUAUGUAAAGUGUACCAUCUAGGUACCUUGUGCCCACAGAGGCCAGAAGACAGCAUUGGAUCCCCUGGAGCUGCCGUAUGGACGUCAGAACCUAAAAACCCAGGGCCUCUGCAAAAUCCACCACUGCUUUUAACUGCUGAGCCGUUGUUGCAGCCCCUGCACCAUUUUCAGUCAGUUAGAUAGGCAGAGUCCCCAUCCUGAUUUUCCCAGUAAGGAUGCUUCUCCACUGAUAUGCCGGGAAUUAUCCCAAUCUGUAGGAGAAGCAGUUAAACUAGAUUGUCCCUGAGCUCCCUUUCAGUGCUAGCAUCAUCUUCAGAUGCCCCACGGCUGUGACAGUGCUGAUUGGGGUGCGGAUCAUACUCUAUUCAUCAGCUCCACACUCCGGAGCGUGGAAGGAUGACCGUGACUGCGGCCCCCAAAGGUGAACUCCCCAUGAGCUGCUGGCUGAGAUGGCUUGGCUGCUCGUGGUGCAGUGUCUUGGCAGACAGACCAUGCAGGUAGGUCAGCACAGGUGAGGAGAGGGUGGGGAUGAACUCUCAUGGCCCCUGAGUAAUGUUUUCUUGUAAGAUUGGAUGCCUCCAGACUGGUGGAUGCCAGCUAGAUGGAUCCAUUCAUAUUGGCUAAGUUGGUGAGCCAUUUCUCCACACUCUCUCACCUUGAAAUGCUGCCUGGUGUUCGUUGUCACUGUAGCCUUCUGGCUCUCUAUGCAGGUGGCACAUUCUUUGAGGACAUAGUUUCAGGUGUCAUCAAUCAACCAGAGACUUGAACCUGGAGCAGGAAAAGGCUUGUCCAAAGUCAAGGUACAGAUUGUUGAUUUUCUGUUCACUAGAAAGUAAUCUCUAUUCUGAACUAAGGUGGCUUAGUUGAUAUGCUUUCUAUGCAAGCAUUAGGACCCGAGUUCAAUUCCCAGCCCUGUAUAAUAGAUGAGGAAGGAUAUUGACAGCACACACUGGAUAACAAAUUUUAGCUCCAAGGAAAGAUCCAGCUUCAGAAAAUACCGUGGAGAGUGAUAAAGACACCUGACUCCAACCUGUGGCUUGACAUACGCAUGCACAUGUACACACACAAACACAUAAGCAUCUGCUAUUUACAUACAUGUACCAGCACAAAGGUGCAGACAGAUCACAGGAACCAGACCCAAAACUGAGCUGUGACCGACAUUCUAAGGGCAGAUACAACAGGGCACCUGAGAAGAAGGUGCCAUUGGAAGAGACAACAAAAGUACAUAAGUUCCAGAACCCAGCCAAGGGUUUGCCACACAGCUCUGAGGUCAGGGUAGAAGUCCCCACCCCCAGGUAGGGGACAAUUGACCUCUAAUCUGGUUGAGAUGGGGGAGGAGGGAAAUGGAGGGGCUUCAGAACCAGCAAGGCACCCGCGCUCAGCAUCAGGACAGGGGAAGGCUCGGCCAACCAGGCUUGCAGAGUGGGGACAGACAGCGAGGGGCCCCAGAGCAGUGGGAUUAAGUGUGGAGGUGAGGGGAUUAGUUGUGUUGAUGGAAGGAGCAAAAUUCAAUCCUGUUCCUUAUGCAGGGAACCUGAUCUCCAUGUUCUCAGGGAGCCUUCCUCUGCCCUGCUGGUCCUGACUUUGGCUCUAAUUAGCUGUGGCUUCAUCUUGCCUGGUGGCUGGGGUCAUGUCUUAGCAGUCUUUGUAGCUCUGGGCACCUAGCAACAGGCAGCUGUCGAUGUAGGGGCAGAAUGACCAUUGCCUGUCUCGACUUUUCGAUGUCUGAAAUGGAGAUUUAGAUACAUUCAUUUUGUGAAAAAGAUUUCUGUAUGUUAUACAGGAACUCAAUGACAGAAGUAGUGGUUACACUAUCAGGCUCUUAAGGAUACUCUCUUGACUCAAUGUGGGUUCAGCUCCACAUAGUGUGUGCCAUGAGGUCAUGGCCACUGUCUUGUCUGAUCAUGACAGCCAAGAUGCAGUGAGGCAGCCAGCUAGCACUGACCUGUAUCACAGGGAAAGAAACUGAGAUCCAAAGAAGCAAAGAAAAAAGAUUCUGGUAAGAAGUAGAGGGGAUUGGGAUGAGGCCGUAGUCUUGAUUCUUUGGUUUCUUCUAGGCAGUAUAUACUGAAUUCUAGCUAUCUCUUUCAUACUUGCACCAGAAGUCAAGGUUAAGCGAGCCAUGGGCUUAGCUGCCAGAGCCAGGACCCAUAUUAUGCCUUAUGGGCCUAGGUAGUGUGUCUUCUGCAUGGUAGAAGGCUUUACCUCAGUUACGUGAGAUUCCUUACUAGGAAAUGGAAUGGGUUUAUAGAACCGAAUGAGAAGUGAAGAAUGCUGGAAAAUCCUGAUCCCCUUUAACAGCUGGUCUAUCCAGAGGCUGGGGACUGUGUGAGACAGCUCACAACUAGACCAGUAGGCUUGGAGAGCGAUGAGUCAGGACUUCACGGGAGCUAGAACGCACAAGUACUGAGAAUGGGUGGCUGGUAAGAGGUCAGGCUGGGGCUGGAGAGAUGGUUCUGUAGUCCCGUGCUCACACUGCUCCUGCAGAGGACCCAAGUAGGUUCCCAGUACUCAUGUCAUGCUGAGUCUUCUGACCUCGGCAGGCUCCUACGUUCACACACACACACACACACACACACACCCUGAAAUGUACUUGCAUACUCAUGCACACACUUAAAAGAGCAGGCCAGGAGUACCCAGCUGUCUUGAGUGCAGCCCUGAUGGGUGACAGGCUGCUGGGUUUAAGAACAUAGUACUGUGAGUCAAUCAGAGACAUUGGAAAGUGACUCAGAUAUAACCAAGGUGUUGAAGACAUAGACAUAUAGGCCUGGCAGACACCUAAAAUCCCAAGUAGAAGGCUGAAGGCAAGCUGUCCUGGAGCCAUUGCCACUCAAUAGUGGGGACCCAAAGAAAGUGACUUACCAGAGACCAUGUGGAGAUGUCAGAGGGCUAAAGUCAAGAGCAGGAGUUAGAGAUGUCCAAGCUGAUGAAGGUGUCAGAAAAGGAAAGGGUCCAAGAGAUGCAACAAAGAACUUGGAGAGACUGUUGCCAUGGCAACCAAGGUAGAGAAGGGUUUCAAGGAGAGAGUAAUCAACAUUGUCAGAUGUGGCAGUGAAUUCCAGUCAGAUCAAGACAGGAAUUUUCCCUUUGCAUUUCAGGAUUAGCUGACUUGUAGUGGAUUUAAAAGAGCAUUUGUAGGAAGGAACACAAGAUUGUCUCCGAGAGCCCUUUAAAAAAUCAAGGAGAACUUAGAGAUGUGAAAGACAGGUGUAUACAGGGUGAGGCUAGGAAAGACGAGCGUGUUCAUGGACAUGAGCUCCAAAUGUGAUGAGCACACAUUGUUCACUAGCACAGUUCCUGGCACCCCUUCAGUGGGCCUACACUGGGUUCUUUGGGGGAAGCCGAGCAGUUAGUAGGGCUGCGUAGUGACAGAGGAGAAAGAAGCAGUCACGCACAUCAGUGUGCAGGGUCCCACACUGAUGGAUGCUCUGACAGAAGCAUGCUCCACACCCAGAUGGGAAAUCCAGUAGAAAGUAUUCUGGGUUGAGAGUAACCAUGUGCCAGAGGCUUACUCCAGGAUGGACAGAAGCAGACUCCAGAGAGAUAGACAGACAGGGAAGAACUAAGGAGAUACAGGGCCUGGCCUUUUUCAUCUUAAUCUUGAGGGAAAGAGAGAUGCUGAUAUAUGAAUAUCCUGGACUGUGGAGUCAGUAUAAUUGAGCAAUUAGGGAUGGAGGCAAUUAUUUGAAAUAAGCUCCCAAUGGGGCUGGGAUCAAGUACAGAGGAAGAUAAAUUAGUUUGGGGCAAUAAUGUGCAUAUAACCAAAUGUGGGCAAAACUCAAUUAUUUACCUUUUAGAGAGUAACAUGAUCCCAUGUUCUUUUGGGAGCUUUUAUCUGCCCUCUAUCCUGCCUGCAUGUCUAAUUAGCACCAGUUUGAUCCUGCUUUGUGGCUGGGAUCAUGACUUAAUAUUCUGUGUGUAGUAAUCAGUGAGCUCUUUAAGUACCAAGCUAGUAUCUUCUGCUUUAGACUGGAAUUCCUAAAGUCAACAUCUAUUCUUGCUUCCACAAAAAAGUAUGACUGUUGCAGCGCUAGAAACAGGAAGUAAAGCAGUUAAGUCUGGGGAGGCAGACACUUGGGUGACAGGUGAGGAAACGGAGACUGUCUCAGGAAUCCCUGACGUCUAGAUUCACCUGAGCAUCACCUCCCUCACAAAGAUAACAGUGUUCCUUCCAGGAGGGAAUGGAAGCCAGAGAGACAUAGCUGAUUAUACCAACACCACACAAGUGAUGAGAUGAUGAGAGACAGGGACAGAAAAGAGGAAAGAGAAACCAACAGGUGGGGAGGUCAGGCCAGCAGAUUCACACUGAUCUUCCUGGAGAGCUUGCCCACUCUCAAAGUGGCCGCCAUUAGUGUCCAUCUUACUGUAUUGGUGUGGUCUAGAGACAGUCUGUAUUUGCACCCAAACUCAGGUGUUUGCUAUGGAUUUGUGCAUACUCAGAUGGACUCACUCCAUCUGAGGCACAUUGUGUGUGAUGUGACAGAGAUGGGGUCUGAUAGACAGCAACCCUGCUGAGCACCUCUCACAGCCUGCCCCAUCUUUCCUCCCAGAUCCUGUGUCUGGUACCUUCAUGCUGCUGAUCUCUGUCUGUCUUUGUGAGCCAAGUAUUUUAAUGAGCAAAGUUUUGAAUGGUGUCUUAAUACCUGAUACGCUUGUCAGAGUUCCAUGGGAAAAAAAUCUUAUUAAGCGAGACUGCAUUGGAGGGAAAAAUAACAUCAUUAGGAUGCCGUCAGCGUCUCCCAUCAACAGCCGAGGCGCCCGUCUCCCGUGGUAGGCGGUAUCCACACUGGAGAUGCCAUUGAGCCCUGUGGCCUACAGGACUUGCCUGGGGUGGCUGUCUGCAUCUGCGUCCACUCCAGUGCUCCACUCUGCUGGCCGCACACAGACACACACAGCCUUCCUGCCUUCCAUCUUAGCUGUGUCCUGUCGACUGAUGGUUAAGAUGCCUUUGGUGGCUCCUUGUGCUGGUCCCCUUCUGCUCACAUACAAGGAUUUCUGUAGGACAAGGACUUGGAACUGUUGGGUCACAGGGAAGAUAUGUCAUGAAUUCAGAUAAAAAACAACUACAGUGUUCUCCAUAGUGCCCAGUUCAACCUCCUGCCAGAAUGUCUCCAGGUUAACGUUUUCACCAAUUGGGUGGGUAAAAAUACUGUCUUGGGUUAGUGUGCACUGUCCAUAUCCCACCCCAGCCCACGCUUUUAUUUAUCCCUAUUCCUAGUCCCCUCUCUGGUCUCUGGACAUGUGCCCAUGUCCCUCCUGUCUCUCCUCCUCUGCCUGCCUUCUUCCUUCUUUUCCCUCCCUCCCUCCCAUCUCUUUUUCUUCCCGUUUUUGAGACAGACACUCACUGUGUCGCCCAUCCUAACCUCAAGCUCAGGAUUAUGGGUGUGAUGCUACAUCCUGCCCGUUUCUUUCCUCCUUCUUUUUUUUUCUUUAAGAGAUUUUUUAUCUUUAUUGAUUUUUAGUUCUUUAUAUAUUUUAUGAAUUUGUUAUACUAAUGCUUUGUUGGUGGUGGCAGAUAUUUUUCUACAUUGUGGGGUUUGACAUUUAAUUGAAUUGCUUUUAGAAAAUUUUAAGGUUUUGAUAACAGUUUUCUAUUGGUUUUGAUUUUUAUCCCUUCUUUUGACAAUCUUAAGAAGCCCCCUUUAUAUUAAUUUCUUGUAUUUUCUUCUCUGGAAUCUAUAAAUUACAUAUAUUUAUACAUAGUUUGUAAAUAUAUAAUCAUAUAUGUGUAUGUAUAUAUGUAUAUGUAAAAAGAAUAAAUUCCAUAUGUAUAAAUCUUACCAUCUAAUGUCACCCGCCAAAAACACUAUGUUGUGAUAUGUAGACAGUUUGAUCUAAACCUGUUCUCUUUACCAGGCACCAACCCUGCCAUUCCUGUGCACCGUCAGGCCACCACUAGUCCUUGAUUUGUGUCUUUGCUUCCAGGCUUGAUGCUAAGCUUUGAUACGGGCAGGACCGGCCGACUAGUCCUCCAGACUGACUAGACAACAGUUUUGCAGAUCUCCUUUGUUCAUCCUUAUGCAUUAGUUCUACAGCAUGAAUUUUAAAAUUUAUCAACUUUCAAGAGAACUUUCUAUAGGAAAUUUUGUUAGAUUUACACUGAAUUCACAGAUAAAUCUGAAGGAAGUUGGCCUCUUUUUCCUGUGUGCUCACGGAGCCCUCCCAGACCAGAGAGCAUCUCGUCCCUCCAGAGGAGCCUGCCUCCUCGGGUCAGCUUGCCUCUGUUUCUUGGUGGAUUUGACCCUCAGUCCUUGUACAGGGCUUCCAGCAGCUCGGAAUGGCUCCCCUGUGCUCCUGUUUGCUUGACCCGUGUUCGCCACACUUCGUCCCAACCUUUCACUAAUCUGGGAGCUUGCUCUGCACACACACAAAGUAAACAUUCUUCCUCCCUGGGCUCAAACACACAAGCACCACUAAACACAGAGCUGGCAUAAUUAGCUGAAAACAAAUUAGAAUCUUUCCAAAUUACACUUUAAUUAAGGAAGCAAAGCAUGAAUACAUUCUCCCUGUUAGAGGUGGAGUGAUGUGAGCCCAGCUGCUGUCUCCUGUACCACAGUCCUGCAUCCCAUCCCUCCACGGUCCUGCAUCCCAUCCCUCCACAGUCCUGCAUCCCAUUCCUCCACAGUCCUGCAUCCCAUCCCUCCACAGGUUUAGGAUCUGCUUCUUGGGCAUGGGUGCUUUGCAAGAGUCCACCACGCUGAGAGCUUGCCUGAGGGUACGACUUGACUCCCUCCUGUAUCUUUACAACACAGCCAUGCUGGUCCCUCAUGUUCUUGUUCUUUAACACAGAAAAGCACCCAUUCCCUCAGCUCUCCUCCUCCAUCUCCAGACUCCGCCAUCAGUUGGCUUUGAGCAGCCUUCUCUUGGCAGUGAUGGAGAAGUGGGAUGCUGGGUCUGCACGUUUUCAGUUUUAGCAGGCUUCACCAGUGCCCGCCAUGGUUUCUGAACCAGGCAAGUGUCUAGCCAGAGGCCAUGAGACUUUAAUCCGUACACUGUGAGCAGUUCUCAGUGUUUGCCAAUUGAAUGGGUGAAAAAGUUAAAUCCCUUUUUAAAUUUGUAUUUUCCUGUUUGCCAGUGAGGUUUCCAUGUGUACAUUGGGCAUCUGUAUUAUUCCUGCUCCAAACUGUCAAUUUUUACCAAGCUUUUCAGCUCAUUGACCUGUAGAAUGUCCUGAUGUAAUCCAGGUAGUAAGCUCUUGUGCUUUUGGACAAAUAUUUCUCCAAGCAUGUCUGUUGCUCUCAGCUCAUUGUAGAAUCUUGCAUCAGACAGAAGUUUCCCAUUUUGAUCAAAUGCAUCUCCUCCAUCUCCUCUAUUCCUUUUUGAAUGUAUAUCAUGUUUGGUUUAAAUAGAGCCCUUAUUCUCCUCUAAUGCUUUCACAGGUUUGUCCUUGGCUCUUUCUCGUAUCUGGAAAUAUAAAGAUUUAUUUAUUUAUUAUAUGGAAGUACACUGUAGUUGUCUUCAGACACCCCAGAAGAGGGUGUCAGAUCUCAUUACGGAUGGUUG
Molecule: RNA transcript, 16505 nt
Organism: Mastomys coucha (southern multimammate mouse)
Lineage: Eukaryota; Metazoa; Chordata; Mammalia; Rodentia; Muridae
Gene: Blcap
Gene name: BLCAP apoptosis inducing factor
Exons: 4
Source: RefSeq, a predicted model, not a curated record